UACUUGUUAAGCCAAAUGAAAGCCCUGAAUAGGGAAUUGAUUAUCCUAAAGAACUUCAAUGGGAUUACCAUCGGGGUAUUAUGAAGAAUAUACAGGAGCUGUGGCAUAAAUAUCAUUUUUAUAAGGUUUACUCUUCCCACCAGGGACAUUUUCAGCUUUGACCAUAUUUUUGCCUUGUCUCUAAUCCGGUUCAGUAAGGGAGAAAGGUUUAGAGUGAUAUAAUCACGUGGUUGUGGUGUGACCCAAAUGCCCAAGUACUUAAAUUUCACUGAUACGGGAAUAUUCUGCAGCACGGGGCUCUCUGGGGCUGUAGAGUCCAGCCUCAUAAUUGCUGACUUGGUCCAAUUGUUUUUCACGCCAGAGUACGAACCAAACCUUUGAAUCACUGCCAUGGCCUCCCCCAGGGAACCUGACGUGUCCCCGAGCAGCAACAUAGUAUCGUCUGCAUAGAGCAUAAUCUUUUCAUGUAUUUGUCCAUAUUUAAAGCCGGUUAUUAAGGGGUUGGAACGCACCAUCUCAGCCAUAGGUUCUAUGGCGAUGGCGAAUAGCAGGGGCGACAGGGGGCACCCCUGGCAGGUUCCUCUGUGUAAUGGGAAGGGGGAAGACCCCCUGCCUGCCUCUCUAAUGACCGCCGAAGGGGAGUUAUACAAAAGUUGAACCCAGGAUUGGAAUAUCGGUCCAAAGCCAAAUUUGGACAAUGUCGCCCAUAGGUAUUGUCAUUCAAUGCUAUCAAAUGCUUUAUGCGCAUCAAGCGACAGCAGUGCCCUAUCCCCAAAAUUGUCAGCCGGGGACUGUAUGUUAAGAAAAAGUCUCCGGAGGUUGAUGGCAGUGGACCUUUCCGGUAUAAAACCGGAUUGAUCCGGGUGAAUAAUAUACGCUAUUACCUUAUUAAGUCUUACAGCUAAUACCUUGGCAAGAAUUUUUAUAUCAGUCUGGAGGAGCGAUAUCGGCCUGUACGAGCCCGGAUCUAGCGGGUCCUUCCCCGGUUUAAGUAAUAGGACUAUGCUCGCCUGCCUCAUAGUCAGGAAGUUGCUGCAAGACCCUGGCUGAGUUCAGUGUACGGAGCAAUCUCGGUAGGAUUACAUCACCGUACUGUUUAUAGACUUCAAUUGGGAUGCCGUCGUCCCCGGGUGCCUUGGAAUUGGGAAAGGAGUUGGUAGCAAGAACCAUCUCCUCAAUAAUAAUGGGAGCCUCUAGAGUCUCCGCCUGGGACUCCGUCGGACACGGUAGCUCUAUCCCCUGCAGAAAAUCCCGAACCUCCUCCACUGUGUGGGCCUGCCUCGUGCCGUAUAGCUCUGAGUAGAAGUCCACCAGUUCACCCAUCACCAGAUCCGGGGCAUUCACCACCCUCCCCAAUUAAUUUUUUAUGGGGAUGACUCCUGCGAGUGUACUAUUUUGGCCAGCAGUCUGCUCCCCCUCCUCAUAAAAGGCUAAUUUAUUAAAGAACCUUUUCUUGUCCGCGGCAGAAGCAUCAAUUCUGCUAAGUGCAUCUUGAGCUGCUCUCCACGCCUCACGAGAGCCCUCCCCUGAGUUUGCAAUGUAUUCUGCCUCUAGGCGUUUAACCAUCUGUGCAGCCUGCUCUCUAUGGAGAGUUGUAUUAUGCUUAACAUCGUUAACCUCCGAUAUUACGCUGGGAGACUGUUUCUCCCCCUUUCUAUUGGUUGUUUUCCCUUUUUUUGUUAAGCCUGUAUUACUUCUACAAGCUGCUUUGCCUGCCACUGGUUCAGUUUGUGGUUUAUUGUUUGCUGGAAAUUUGAAAAUGGAUUUUGUAGGGGAUGCCUGGUCGUUUUAUAUGAAGGAAAUACAUACCAACUGUAAUAUUGACACUAGGGAUGACCUAGGUUUGAAUCAAUACAUGACUAAAGCAAGGAGACUUCUCAAGAAGAAGUCGAACCUAUACUGGCAUAUUGAAUUCUUUCAACAGUAUAUACAGGAUAGAGUCUGCCCAGUGGGUCUCAGAAUCCAGUUGUUCCCAUCGUUUGGAAACUCCACACCAGAGUUUAGACGAAACUGGGAAUCUGAGCUCACAAGAUGCAGUACAGAACUGAUUAAAAUACUAGUUACCCAGUAUAAAUCCGAUCUCCAAGCGCUUGACCAGGAAUUAGUCGCCCUACAAACCCAAUAUGAUUAUGUCAAAAGCCACAAACUGUUUGAGAAAAAAUGGCAGGAGCUGAAAGAAUAUCUUACCAAACUCAUUAAGGAUAUUAUAUCAAAGAAACAGACAAAAAUCUACAAAGACAAAAUGGCCUUUACUGAGGGCUUUGCCUAUCACUGGAAUUCAACAGCACCGAAUUCCAGGAAGGGCAAGCCAGGCCGGAGACCUAACACCAACUUGGUAUAAAGCUCUAGAGAGGAGGAUUCUGAGUCCGAUUCAUCAAUACCCCCCUAAUGUCUCACCCUUCCACUUCCUUCCCCUCUUCUGGGACACGUCCCUAUACCAAUGCCAACACUCGCAAAAGGGGACAUAAUGGUACUCACCUGGCCACACUACUUCCUAAAAAAAACGUCCAGAGACGAAUUUGGGCCCUAUAGCACGUACAGGGCACCCACAGCAAGGAACGUCACAUAUAGGUACAAGUGGAGGUACUGCUGUCCCGGGACAGCAGCUCAACUACCUGGGACCAAUAGCAUCCCAAGCUUUACAAAUGCUGCAACCCACUGAAAGGGGAGACACUCCCUUACAAGCCCAAAGAUCUAACUUACCUAAUAUGGGGCAACAACCUGUACGCACAACACAAAAUACCUCACUUUUGUCACCUAGUCUGGUUAAUGCGGGUAUCACCGCUACCAGACAAAGCACACUAGAUUCUCACCUAGCCUCUUCUGGGCCCUCAGUCUAAUUUUCCAUUGGCCCUGUCACAAACUCCCCAAACGUAGGGUGCAGUAUCAUCAAUUUGACCCCCUACAACUUCUCUGAAGAAGAGUUGGAAGUGCUACAUUUUGGACUCAGUUUUUGUCCCACAUCACAACUUGACAAAUAUGAUACGAUCGAAGAUUUCUAUCUCUUCGCUAGAAAAUUGACAUACAAAUACCUAUUCGAUCAGGAUCGACUACGAUCCAAGAAAGACAAAGAACUAGCUGAAAGGAUCAAACACUUUACGAUGGCCGAAUUCCAUGCCUUCAGAGAUUUGGUAUUACUAUUAGAGGAAAAUUAAUUAGAACAAACACCCUCUGGGUCAUCUAAUGUUGAUAUACCUGCACCCUCUACUAUUGUAUUGCCUAGUCGCAAAUUUAAACCCAAAUCAACGAAAUUCCCGGAUCUUACCACCAACUCCUUUGUCUGGACUUUUUUAUUGGCUACCGUUAAACUACUUGACAUUAAUCCCAAACAACCCAAUCUGACGCAACAACAAAUACAUUCUAUUGGCAAAUUAAAGAACCACUCGGAUCUUAUAAUUAAACCCUCCGACAAAGGAGGUAACAUUGUACUGUUCACUCACGAACAAUACAUCAAAAUGUGUAUGGACAUUUUGUCCAAUCUUUCCUGGUAUCAUAGAAUUGCAGUGGUUUCAGUGGCACACUACACGAAUGAGUACAAAGCAUUGAUAGGUGAGGCAUUUAUGAAAGGUACGAUAGAUCAAGAAACUUAUGAUUACCUUAACACCAAAUUCCCAUGGGCACCUACAUUUUAUGCCCUACCCAAGGUACAUAAGAACUUAAAAGCCCCCCCCCGGUAGGCCUAUUGUAUUUGGCAUUGGAUCUAUUACUGAAAACGCGAGCAGAUUCAUCGAUUUUUUUUUUUCUUGACACCACAUGUCACGCGACUACCAUCAUUUGUUAAGGAUACAUUGGAUCUCCUGAAACAAACUGAGGGAAUGCCUGUCCCUUCUGACGCCCUGCUUGUGACUCUGGAUGUGGAGGCCUUGUACUCCAGUAUCCCUCACGAGCAGGGCGUCGGAAUGGCACGCACUUUCCUCAUGGAACAAGACCACCACUCAUGGCCAUUUAAUGAAUUUAUUUUAAAAUUACUCAUGUUCAUCUUGACUCAUAACUGGUUCACCUUCAAUGGCUCCCACUACCUCCAGGUACAGGGCGUGGCCAUGGGCACUUGCUGUGCACCGUCCUACGCAAACCUGUACCUGGGGGGGUGGGAGCGGGACAUCUUUGCAGAUGAACAGUUGUCUGAAUAUACCAAUCAGGCACCGGUAUGGCUUCGUUAUAUUGACGAUAUUUUUUAAGUUUGGACCGAUUCGCAGUCGGCCCUGACUGAAUUCGCCAAUGUAUUGAACAAUAACAACUACAAUUUGAAAUUCACGGUCAGUAGUCAUCCCCGUAGGAUCUCUUUCCUUGAUGUUGAAGUUUUCAUCGAUCGUGACAACCACCUAGCAUCCACCUUAUACCUCAAGGAAACCGCGGGUAAUACCAUCUUACACUCGGCGAGUGCACAUGCCACCCCGCUGAAACGCAGUAUACCCUAUGCACAAUACCUUAGAUUAAGGCGUAAUUGUACACACGAUGCAGAUUUCAAACAUCAUGCCAAUCUGUUAAGAGAUCGUUUACUGGCACAGAGAUAUUCCAAAACCCUGUUGCGUAAAGCGUACAAUCGAACAAUACAACAAUCUAGAAACUCAUUGCUGCACCAAGUUCGCACACCACAGGACCCUUAUGGCUCUGUUAAAUUCAUUACCAAGUACUCUGACCAACAGACUGAAUUGAGAGAGGUAAUCACCAAAGACUGGCACAUUUUGCUGGAGGAUUCAAUCCUCAGCAAAUAUGUGGGUGAACGCACUGAGAUGGUGUUUAGGCGAUCAACAUCGCUAAGAGACCAACUUACUUGUAGCCACUAUGCCCCCGGGGGGCGAAUUGUUCCGUCUGCCAAGGGUAUCUUUAGGUGUGGACAUUGUGCAUUUUGCCAAUAUAUUGCAACAGGAAACAAAUUUAUCUUACCCAAUGGUGAAAGAUUUAAACCAAGGUUUAGAGCAGAUUGCGACACUAUGGGUGUGGUUUAUCUUAUGACGUGUUCUUGUGGUGUCUAUUAUGUCGGAAAGACUAUCCGGCCACCACGUCAUCGUAUAAGAGACCAUGUAUAUUAUUCCUCUAGUGGCAAAAUCCUGACACCCGUAAGUCGCCAUCUAGAUCUUUACCAUCUGUUUAAUACAUCUUCAGCCUCAUUCUCGGUUCUCGCUGUGAUUGAACGCGACCCAAGAGGAAGCGAUUGGGACAAAAAAAUCCUACAAAGUGAAACAAAAUGGAUUGAAAGACUCAAUGCCACCCAACCUCCGGGUAUUGACGAAGUACAAACGUACAAAUCAUUUCUCUGAUAAACCAUGCUGCGACCUUUAGGGCCGCAUUACAGUUUUGUAUAUAACAGUUUUAUGUGAUCUAUGAGAUUGCAACAUGGAGGUCCUUUCAUGGAGUAUUUUUGUAUUUUGGAACAUUACUACUUUAAGGGCUCGCCUGAAAAAGAUAAAAGCCUUCAAGUGUUCUAUCUAUUAUAUACAAAUACUGAUAGUACGUUUUUCUGAGUGAUAUCUGCGGCUCUGCUCCCCCCUCCCCGCCGUGUGCCCUUUAUAAUAAUGUUUCCAUUUUCUUCUUCCUUUCUGCUCCUUAUCAUUUUUUGAUUAUCUUAUUACGACUAAGAUGAUAAUAAUAUUUUGUUCUGAAAAAAUGUCUAUGUAAUUUGCUUUACAAACUGAGAUACUCUGUAUAUUGACUGUCAUCCACACGCAGCUGUUAGGUGGAUAGACAUACUACUUUAAACACACUUUUUGCUUUUUUGGCACAGUAUUCUUACUGUUGUAUGCUUAUGGUCUAGGUUGCACCAAUGUCACUGUGGAUUUGCGCGUCCCUCGGGGGUUCACUGCUGGAUCUGUACAGCCAGGUGACCAUGGCGUGUUUACACGCCGUGGUUACUGGGGAUUAAGUGGAGCAUUUCCCCCGUUCAGCGCUGCCUUAAUGGUUCUGCCAUCGGGAAUAUGCGGUGGACUCGGGACACGCCCUGACUCCUUCCAUUGGCGGGACAUGCAUCUCCGCUCCUCCCCUCCCCGUCGAACCCGCCCUGCAGUGUGUAAGCCUGCUGUGAGCGUCAUGUGACGCUCGCAGGGCUUUACAGCAGGGUGAUUGGUCCGCGGGGAUACUGGCUGAGUCACGUGAUGCGGAAGUCCCACCCGCACACGUGACUGGAGACAUGCCUUUAUAAUGGAACAGACAGCCCAAGUGAGUAGAGGCUCUCUCCCCACUGCUACAAGCCCUUUCCAUUAUGACGGCCGAUAUUUGACACCCAUCCAGCUUACAGCAGCAUCUCUGAUUUCCUGAUCUCUGUCUGCAGGGAUGUUUUCUUCUCCCUGCUCUUAUGGUAUUUUUUCCUCAUGCUUACACAUGCAGGUUAGACCUGCACCAUUCUACCCGUUUACUAAUCUGAUCAGCUCCUUGUUUGCUGCACUAUAUAUCUGGAAUAUUUAUAGCUCCCGAAGAAGCACUAAAACUGCGAAACAUGUAGAGCUUAUGCGAAAUUACGUCUACUAACAACCACGCUGGUCAUCAAUCCACGUUGCUGUCCCUAGUGGACUUGUAUUGGUUUUAGGGGAUUUAUCCUCAUUUGUUUUCAUCACAGGAAUGUUCUGUGACAAUUUAUGUGUUUUUUAAAAAUGAAUGUUUUAUAUGUACUGUAAUAUUGGUUCAUUACCCAUUUUUGGGGUUGUAUCAAUAAAUUAUUAUUUUUUGUCAACUA
Molecule: long non-coding RNA, 6670 nt
Organism: Rana temporaria (common frog)
Lineage: Eukaryota; Metazoa; Chordata; Amphibia; Anura; Ranidae
Exons: 3
Source: RefSeq, a predicted model, not a curated record